RNAcentral lists this ribosomal RNA (254 nucleotides) under uncultured bacterium. RNAcentral's name for it is "partial 16S ribosomal RNA". It matches the Rfam family "Bacterial small subunit ribosomal RNA", at positions 524 to 776 of the family's 1533-position model. The record is from RNAcentral.
UACGAGAGGUGCAAGCGUUAUUCGGAAUUAUUGGGCGUAAAGAGUGCGUAGGCGGUAUGAUAAGUCUGUUGUUAAAUCUCCUGGCUCAACCAGGAAACUGCAAUGGAAACUAUUAUUCUAGAGGGUGAGAGAGAGAAGUGGAAUUCCAGGAGUUAGCGGUCAAAUGCGUAGAUCUCUGGAGGAACACCGAUGGCGAAGGCAGCUUCUUGGCUCAUUUCUGACGCUGAGGCACGAAAGCGUGGGGAGCAAACAGG